RNAcentral lists this transfer RNA (61 nucleotides) under Eisenia nordenskioldi. RNAcentral's name for it is "tRNA-Asp". Lineage: Eukaryota; Metazoa; Annelida; Clitellata; Crassiclitellata; Lumbricidae. The record is from RNAcentral.
GAAGUUCUAGUUAAAUAAUAAUAAUGUCUUGUCAAGACAUAGUUACAUAGAGUGAACUUCU